UCCUUCACGUAGAUCAAUACAUUCAGGUGCUUUCCCAUAAUUGCAUACAUGCAUAUGCCCUCUCUAUAAAAGGCUAAUACUCCUGGGAGUUUCACAUUUUUGGAAACACAGUAAAAGGAUAGAACUUCGAAGCUCUCCUUCAAAAUUUGUAGACACCAUGGAUUUCUCAGCAGUGUUUUUAGACAACAGCGUUAUGAUUAUUUCUGGAGACAACCUUCCUGAGACGUCCAAGCAUGGCCAUUUGAAUCUGAGAUCAACUAGACGCAAGUCAUAACUUAAAAUUAUGAAUGUCUCAUACUGUAAAGUCUUUAAUUUUUCAUAUGCAUUUAUAUUUUGUUUGUUUCAUAUUCA
Ictalurus punctatus (channel catfish) is the source of this 351-nucleotide long non-coding RNA. NCBI's taxonomy places the organism in Eukaryota, Metazoa, Chordata, Actinopteri, Siluriformes, Ictaluridae. The record is from Ensembl.